GGGCUUGGGCGGCAGCUACACAUGCAAGUCGAGCGGUAGAGAGAAGCUUGCUUCUCUUGAGAGCGGCGGACGGGUGAGUAAUACCUGGGAAUCUGCCUGAUAGUGGGGGAUAACGUUCGGAAACGGACGCUAAUACCGCAUACGUCCUACGGGAGAAAGCAGGGGAUCUUCGGACCUUGCGCUAUCAGAUGAGCCCAGGUCGGAUUAGCUUGUUGGUGAGGUAACGGCUCACCAAGGCGACGAUCCGUAACUGGUCUGAGAGGAUGAUCAGUCACACUGGAACUGAGACACGGUCCAGACUCCUACGGGAGGCAGCAGUGGGGAAUAUUGGACAAUGGGCGAAAGCCUGAUCCAGCCAUGCCGCGUGUGUGAAGAAGGUCUUCGGAUUGUAAAGCACUUUAAGUUGGGAGGAAGGGUUGUAGUUUAAUACGCUGCAAUCUUGACGUUACCGACAGAAUAAGCACCGGCUAACUCUGUGCCAGCAGCCGCGGUAAUACAGAGGGUGCAAGCGUUAAUCGGAAUUACUGGGCGUAAAGCGCGCGUAGGUGGCUAAGUAAGAUGGGUGUGAAAUCCCCGGGCUCAACCUGGGAACUGCAUCCAUAACUGCUUGGCUAGAGUACGGUAGAGGGUAGUGGAAUUUCCUGUGUAGCGGUGAAAUGCGUAGAUAUAGGAAGGAACACCAGUGGCGAAGGCGACUACCUGGACUGAUACUGACACUGAGGUGCGAAAGCGUGGGGAGCAAACAGGAUUAGAUACCCUGGUAGUCCACGCCGUAAACGAUGUCAACUAGCCGUUGGGAACCUUGAGUUCUUAGUGGCGCAGCUAACGCACUAAGUUGACCGCCUGGGGAGUACGGUCGCAAGAUUAAAACUCAAAUGAAUUGACGGGGGCCCGCACAAGCGGUGGAGCAUGUGGUUUAAUUCGAAGCAACGCGAAGAACC
Molecule: ribosomal RNA, 941 nt
Filed under: Pseudomonas sp.
Lineage: Bacteria; Pseudomonadati; Pseudomonadota; Gammaproteobacteria; Pseudomonadales; Pseudomonadaceae
Description: bacterial SSU rRNA
Rfam family: Bacterial small subunit ribosomal RNA
Source: RNAcentral